ACAAUUCAGGGAAUGGGUGAGUAACUUAAGAUUUCAAUUUUACCCUCACCAUUAUCAUUUCUUUCUCACGUCUGAGACCUUUUCCCUCUCUUCUUCCUUCCAUUGUAAUCAUCAACAAAUUACCAACUUAUCAAUUUAAAUUUUUUUAAUCCCAUUUCCUCCCAACCCUGUCUCCCUUUGACAAACCGUAACAAGGCCUUCAAUCUCAGAACCGCUUUUCUAACUCCAAAUGCCCUCAACAAGGCCUUCUCUUGCUUUUGAUUGAGGUGGAAACUUGAGAAGAGAAGCAACCAGAUAGUGGUUUAAUGUGAGGCUUCAACUGUACCUGAGAAGGAGGCCGAAGAGACCUUCAGGGAGAAUUUUGAGUACCAAGCAGAGGUGGGUUCUUUUGCUUUUCCUGGGUUUUGCUCUUCUGUUUCUGCUUUUGGUGGAAUAUUUAGGGAUUUACAUGGUGGUGUUGGAUUGGGCAAUUUAGUGUUGAAUUCUAUUCUGUUUUUCUUGGUGCUGAGAAGGUUGUUGUGUUUACAAAGAGUCCAAAAUCAGACAAGCAAUACGUUGGGAAGUUGUAGCAGACAGUAGCUCCUAUGUGAAUAGGGAGGAAACUAAUCUAGAAAAUCUUCAAGUCCGUGGUACACAGAUUACACUUUAUUUAAGGUCAGAUGACAAGUAUGAAUUCUAAGAUCCCACCAGAAUUCAGAAUUUGGUGAAGAAUUAUUCCCAAUUUGUUUAUUUCCCAAUCUACAUUUAUGGUAAGAUACCAAACCAAACAAGAAAUAUCAGGUAGAAACACACACACACAAAAAGGAAAUCCUGAGUAGGGAAGUUGUCAGUUUCUAAUUCUAUGCAUAAUGCUGUUUACUUUUCUCCUUAUUUAUUGUGUUAUCAUGUUGCAAAGUUCUUAAUUUUAUUUGCUUAUUUUUAGACCAAUAUCUUAUUCUGUUUUGCUUAUAAGUUCCUCCAGCAUAUUUGAAUCCUGAAUUCUAAUAAUAUGGGUGCUUUGGGAGACAGUGGAGAUUUUGUGGCCUGGGAAAGUUGGUUAGAUGAUUUGCUUCAAAGUAAUGGUUGCAAGCUACUAUUUAAUGAAUUUAUUGUUUCUUUGAGUUGUAUUGAAGAUAAUUUUUAGCAUUUCAUUUCUUCUCAAUUAUAUGUAAUGAUAUGUAGAGAUAGGAUUUUUAGUUACCUUUGGAUGUCACAAUUGUCGUCGUCAACAGAUACGAGGUUUAUCAACAUAAUGCUAAUGCGCUCAACAAAAUAUUUCAAAACCAUGCUUGCUUUGCUGACCAAUUUCGAUUGAACAAUCAAGAGUUGAAAUUUACCGGAGAUUAGAAAGCGAUCUGAAGUUGGCAAAGACUCGUCAAACAUUGGAGGAUCAAGCAGAGAUAAAGAGAUUGCGAGAAACUAUCCGAGAAGCGAAUCUGAAGUUGGCCAGGUUAAAGAAGUAAUAACAACUAGAGUAAUUGCUGCUUCUCGUUAUUUCGUUCAAGUAAUAGCAGUCUAAGAAUCUUUUAGUGAUUAAUUGGAAUGUUGAUGAUUUGAUAGUAAUGUAUGCCUUUGUGUGAGGGCUUAUGUUUGAAUAAGGAGAAUGUUAAGAACUCAUGUGGUUUGAUACUUUUGGUAUUUUAAAGUUGUUUUGUGUGGAACUGCAA
Molecule: long non-coding RNA, 1646 nt
Organism: Gossypium raimondii (Peruvian cotton)
Lineage: Eukaryota; Viridiplantae; Streptophyta; Magnoliopsida; Malvales; Malvaceae
Exons: 3
Source: RefSeq, a predicted model, not a curated record